Molecule: transfer RNA, 72 nt
Filed under: Candidatus Woesearchaeota archaeon
Lineage: Archaea; Nanobdellati; Candidatus Woesearchaeota
Description: tRNA-Thr
Rfam family: tRNA
About the family: Transfer RNA (tRNA) molecules are approximately 80 nucleotides in length. Their secondary structure includes four short double-helical elements and three loops (D, anti-codon, and T loops).
Source: RNAcentral
GUCGAUAUAACUCAGCGGUAGUGUAAUUGCUUUGUAAUCAAUCGGUCGUUGGUUCAAUUCUGAUCAUUGGUU